AAGAUGGGCCCGCGUGCUAUUAGCUAGUUGGUAGGGUAAUGGCCUACCAAGGCUACGAUAGCUAGCUGGUUUGAGAGAAUGACCAGCCACACUGGAACUGACACACGGUCCAGACUCCUACGGGAGGCAGCAGUGAGGAAUUUUGCGCAAUGGGGGAAACCCUGACGCAGCAACGCCGCGUGAGUGAAGAAGGCUUUCGGGUCGUAAAGCUCUGUCAAGUGGGAAGAACCGUUUCAAGGCCAACACCCUUGAAGCCUGACGGUACCACUGAAGGAAGCACCGGCUAACUCCGUGCCAGCAGCCGCGGUAAUACGGAGGGUGCAAGCGUUAUUCGGAAUCAUUGGGUGUAAAGCGCGUGUAGGCGGCUUAGUAAGUCAGAUGUGAAAGCUCCGGGCUUAACUCGGAAAGUGCAUUUGAAACUGCUAGGCUUGAGUCCGGGAGAGGAAGGUGGAAUUCCCAGUGUAGAGGUGAAAUUCGUAGAUAUUGGGAGGAACACCGGUGGCGAAGGCGACCUUCUGGACCGAGACUGACGCUGAGACGCGAAAGCGUGGGGAGCAAAUAGGAUUAGAUACCCUGGUAGUCCACGCCGUAAACGAUGAACACUAGGUGUAGGGGGUAUUGACCCCCCCUGCGCCGUAGCUAACGCAUUAA
RNAcentral lists this ribosomal RNA (651 nucleotides) under uncultured bacterium. RNAcentral's name for it is "bacterial SSU rRNA". It matches the Rfam family "Bacterial small subunit ribosomal RNA", at positions 222 to 863 of the family's 1533-position model. The record is from RNAcentral.